Molecule: RNA transcript, 4585 nt
Organism: Amaranthus tricolor (Joseph's coat)
Lineage: Eukaryota; Viridiplantae; Streptophyta; Magnoliopsida; Caryophyllales; Amaranthaceae
Exons: 10
Source: RefSeq, a predicted model, not a curated record
UCCGAGGGCUGUCCGAAACGCAAAAUCACUGCAAACUUGCAAAGUGCAAAUACACAUGAAGCAGAAGGAUGUGAAUUGAGGAUCUUUGAAAUGAUGAAAUGGGGACUUAUCUUUCAACUUCAACCUCAUACUCCAUUUCUUGUGCUUCCUAACCCUAAGGCUGUUCCCCAUUUCCGUACAAUAAUUAAUACUGCUUCUUCUCCGCGUUUCUCUUCUUCUUCUUCUUCUUCUUCUUCUUCUUCUCCUCCAUCUUCAUCUUCCGUCCAUCCCACUUUUACGUCUUCCUUCAGGUGUGCUGUGCUUGGUGCUGGUUUUGCUGGCUUAUCCGUGGCCUGGCAUUUACUCUCUCAAAGCCCUAAAGAACUUAAACUACAUGUUGACAUUUUUGAUGAUGUUGGAAUUGGUGGGGGUGCUUCUGGUGUUGCCGGAGGCCUUGUUCACCCUUAUUCCCCUAAAGUGAAACUUUUAUGGAGAGGUGAAGAAUGCUGGACUGAAUUUUUGAAUCUUCUUAGUGUUGCAGAAGAUGCAUUUAAUGGACUUUCUCACUGUCAACACAACACCAAUGGACUUAUUGUUAGGAGAACGGGCAUAUUGAGACCUGCUGUGAAUAAGAAGUUUUUCUAUGUCAUGAAUGAGAAUGCAUUGAGUUAUUUAGCCGGUUGUCCAAUACAGACCAUUGAUGAAAUUGCAGCAAGAAAGCUCAUACCAAAUUUAUGUACACCUUUGAACACUGCAUACUAUAUGCCUGAAGCUGUGAAUGUCAAUCCCCUGAACUAUCUGAAGGCACUUUUCCAAGCAAGUGAAAAUAUAGUGAAAAGAAUGUCAUCAAUUGGUUACUGUGGCAAGAAAAUAACUCUACACAAGAAACUUGUAACUUCAAUAUGUGAAGUGGGAGAUGAAUAUGAUGCUGUGAUAGUUUGCCUUGGUGCUAGAGUUGACAUGGUUGCUGAGUUGUCCGGAGUACUCCCUUUAAGGACAUGCAGAGGCAUUGUUGCGCACCUACAGUUGCAUGAUUCCUUCAGUGAAGAAUAUUGCGAAUAUAGCCCUUCAAUCCUAUCUGAUGUUUGGCUCGCUGUUCAGGGGCCUAGAAGUUUAUAUAUAGGCUCCACAUGGGAGUGGGGAUCAAGAAAUUUUUCUUCUAGUGUCUCCUAUGAAGAAGCCUCCAGUACUUUGCAACAACUUCUACCUAAAACAAGUAUGAUUUAUCCACAGAUAAGCAAUUGGACGGUAACAGGAGCGCAGGCAGGUGUUAGGGCAAUGCCACCUCUCACUUCACAAGGAUCAUUUCCUCUUUUGGGUUGUAUUGAUGAUCUUGUAAAGGGUGGCAAAUCUUCUUAUCCUUCUAAAUAUUGGUUAAUUGGAGGUCUGGGCGCCAGAGGACUUCUUUACCACGGCUGGCUUGGGAAGUUGACUGCACAAGCUGUGCUUUCAUCUAGCGAAGCUCUGUUACCUCUUGAGCUUACAUCCUGGAAGAAAUAAAGAAAAAGUGACUAGAGCUUUCAUCUACGACAUCUGUUUAUUAUCUUUUAGUAAAAUCAUUUGCUGUCGUAAAUGCUGCAAAACAAAUCUGUCGUAUUGAGUGGCAAUGAUAUUUCAGGAUACUUUGUCCCCUGUCAGCAGAAAAGAAAAUUCCCACUCACACUCAAAUAUUUUUGUCCAUCAAAAUGAGAGUUACAAUACGAUGUUUGCUGUGUGAUAAUUAUCAAUGGGAGUUAAUUUUUUGUAACGACCUCAAAGCGGAGUACUACAUUUACAACACAACCUUGUGAAAUCCUAAAAGAAGUAUAUUCUGUUAAGAAACAAGCUCAUGAUCAAUGCUAAGACAAAGGAGAGACACAGACUGGUGGUUCUCCUCUCACUAGAAUUCUUCUUCUCAUCUGCAGGUGGUUGACCUGCUGUGUUAUUUUCCCCCUUAGAAACUGAAGGUAGAGGUGGGUCCACAACACUCGCUGCAUCAAGUGUUGGUGCUGGUGCUCCUGCUGGUGGAAGCGCUUCUGGCACAACAAAGAAAAGCAGUUGCCCUGGUUCCGCUGGAGCUAGUGUGAAGUCCAUGUUUUCUAAUGCUGGAUCUGAGCAUGGGGUUCCUUCAAAAUUCACAAGAGAACUAUUAGAUCAUUUUUGGAAUCGUGAAUAAAUUUCGAACCUAAUAGUUAGCAAUAGGGUCAAUCUUAUGGAGAGACAAUGAGUUUUUGCUUACUGAAAUAGGCAUAUGCUGUAGCUGGGUACUCAGUGACCACUGCAUCAACCUUGGCUCCCUCGACAAAUGUUGCAAGCUCUAGCAUGGGAUCAUCAAAAAAAUCAAAUGCCAGGGUGGUGUACUCGUUGUACAGAAUGGAGACAUGUACCGAUAGAUUAGCUGCAUGCAUCUCUUCAACAACUCUGGUAAAGUUGCUGAAGAAAGAGGCUGUGCUUUUCAAAAUGCUGGACCUUCGAACAUCAACCGCAUCAGCGAAUUUCUUGAUUUCAUCCAGAGAUGGCUUUGGGGCGUCACCUAUAGUGUCCCUAAUUGCAUAAACUCUUCGAAAUGAUGGGACUUCCUUAAACUUUGCUAGCACCGAGGUAUCAUCUGAUUGGAUCAUAACUUGUGUUGGCUGCUUAUCUAAUGUGGCGUUGCUUAAAGCACUGGUGACAGCACCUACUACGUCAAGACCUUUCUUUGAGGCUAGGAAGUGUGCAUUCUAGUUAAAUCAACAAAACCGUUAAGGAUCUCUCAGAAAGCCAGAUCAUGUUUUCUCAGAGAAACUAAUUUAUAAAUGAACUAUUUAACGGAUGAAACUUAUACAUGAUUGGGACUUGAACUUACUAAGAUGUUGACGAGAAUUCCAGGAACUGCUUUGGCUUUCGCCAAGUCAAGAAAGUCAGCAAGAGUUAAGAAUUGACCCUUGUCCUUGUUAGCUGGGUUUCUUGGUAAACCUCCCAUGUCUUGUGAUAGAGGGUUCGUUAGUUGUGCUAAAAUGGCAAGAAUACAAUAUUCAGUACUACUACUCAACAAAAACUCCAGAAUCUCAAAACAUUGUUGAUAAAUAUCAUAAGAUAAAGGCUGUUAUGGGAAAGUAUACGUUUCAAACUUUGGAUUUCGCUCCAAGUGAGAUCAAAGGAAAAGAUUCCGUUUUUGGGCUGGAUUUCAGGGACGUUAGAGGAUCUAGACAUAAAGCUGGUGAUGGCAGUAGUGUCUCCCAAAAGGUCAGCUGAAUCAAGGCAGAAUGCUACACCAUCCUUUGACAUUUGGACUGAACAAUCAAUUACGUCUGCCCCAUCUCUGAUCGCCUUAUCAUAUGCCAGGUCAGUGCACCCUGCAUAGUCUCCGCUAGCCCCAUUGUGAGUAAUGAUCAAAGCGGCUGAAAUUAGAAACAAAAACCCACAUCAAAUCUGCCUCACUCCGUUUCAAGUACACCUUCAAAAGAGAGAUAAAACCACAAGUAUAGAAUGCUCACUUUUUGGACGCUUGGUGGCUUUUUUCUGGUGCGCUAGGCAUGCUGCAAAGAAACCAAAACCCAUAUUAAUCAAGGCGGAAUGCUCUACUCCAUUGUUUGAGAUAUAUAUGAUGAAAUGAUCGUUCAACCUUAAUUUAAUUUAUUUGCAACAAUCACAUACCGGUUGCUGCAGAUGCUGUAAAAGGGAAGUCUGUGAGCACACCAUCAACAGAAAACUGAUCGUUGUCGAUAAAUUGCAAAACCUCAGCAGUUGGAUCGUAGCUGUAGUUAUAGCUACCGGGGAAAUCAUUGGCGAAAUCAGAUGCAUAUAUUUCGAGGCCUUCUCUAUGGGCAUCAGCUACAAGAGUGGUAGGUGCUAAAAGAUAUUGUUCCUUGUUAACUGGCCAUAUGUAUGUCUUGGGCACUAGUAUACCCGAAGCAAAUUGCUUUAUGACUGCCAGAUUUUUCAAUACUUCACCAUAAGGCUGAUUUGUUGUAGGCUCAACUGCUUGUGGUUCUAGGAAUCUCAAAAUUAAUUUGGUGCGGACCUUGUCGACUUUAUUUACCAUGCUUUUUAAAAAGUUGAUCUCUGGAGAGGAUAUAUAACUAACCCGUCCAAGUUUUGUAUUCUGCAAGUAUGCUGCUGGGCUGAUUUUGUGUUGGUUAUAGAACAUGUCAUACUGCAAAAACCAGGUGCCGAAAAGGCAUAUCAAUUUCAAGACUGGAGGACAGGCUGAGAAAGGGCAAGUUCAGCGUACAACCGUCAGCAGUGUAAAUAGCUUUUAGGCUGGUAGCUGUUUUUAUAGCUACAACUACAACUAUUUAGACAGUACGUUGAACUUGUCCAAAAACCAAAAGGAAGAAAGCUAACCUGAACAUUAAACCAUAGGCUUGGAGGCUCUUUUGUAACUGUAGGCAAGUCUGUGGCUACCAUUAAUUGUUGACCAUCAAACACAUUUGGUCUAGUCAUAACAUUCUGAAAAGCUGGAAAAAUCAUAUUAUUAGAAAGAAAAAUAGAGGAAGAGGAGGAAGAGCACAAAAAAUAUUAUUUGUAAAACGUACAAGUUACAUUAGAUAAAAUAGCGUCAGCUGGAUAAUCUAUAGCAAACCACCCUCGAACAUCUUUUCCGUUAACAUUGUAAGUUUUUUCACCUCGAGGAAAGAUGUUCACG